Neocloeon triangulifer is the source of this 1412-nucleotide long non-coding RNA. RefSeq lists it as uncharacterized. NCBI's taxonomy places the organism in Eukaryota, Metazoa, Arthropoda, Insecta, Ephemeroptera, Baetidae. The transcript has 5 exons. The record is from RefSeq and is a predicted model, not a curated record.
UUAAACAGCGCUUGAGCUAAAAAGGCGCUGUCAAAACAAACGGGAUGAAAACAUUUACCUGCGCGCCGAGCGGCUAAUUUGAAUAUGUUUACACAAGCGCUGCUCAUUUCUCGCUUGCGCGUGCAUUAAUUCCAUUAUUUAUAAACGCUCGACGUGUCUCGUCGUCUGCAUAAAUAUAAAUCGUCGGCUUUUCUCAUUCCCGCGAGCUGCACCGCACAAUUGUGAGUUCAGGAAAAAAACUCUCCGCGCAUGAAUAGUGAAGAAGCAGCGAUUGUAACGAUAAUUUUCGUCCAUUAUUCAUCUCCCUUCGUUACACGCACGGCAUUCUUGCAGGGUGACUCGCCUAAAUGGCUGUGCAACCCUUUUUCAUCGCAGAGCGUGCACCGCCGGAAUAUUUUAACUGACGUUUCUGGAUCAAAAGAUGAUGAUGCAGCAGCAUCAAUCCACGCUCCUUUCAGUUCCAAAUCAUAAUUGAUGUGCGUCGUCAAGCACAAAUCGCUUGAUAGAAUUAUAAAAAGAAAGAAGCAACUACCGCUCCUCCGGCCGCAAGAAACAUCACGGGGAAAGGAAUAUUUCACCAUAUGCUGCACGACGACGAUAUAAUUUACGGCUUUUGCGUUUUAACUGCGGAGCGCGUCUCUCUCCCGCUGGUGUGACAAACUGCACCUUUUCUGCCGAGAGAUAGGAAAAAGAACGCGGCACGCACCACCCAUGGACAAGAUUUGUGGCACCCUGUAAUUUAUUGUGGAAUGUAAAACAGCCUCGGUGUACAAUAAUGGAGCUAUUAACAAAACACAUUAGUUUGAUAAUAUGAGAAGCGUCUUCUCGCUUGAAAGAAGCUCGAUUGUUGCACGCCUCGAUGGGCAACCCCCCGCAUUUCUGAACUACUGCAGGUGUAAUGCACAUUAUUGUGUCAUUGAAAGGGAUCGCCUUUUGCGUGCCACCAACAGAGUGAGUCGGCAGCAUUUCCCCCGAUUCAACCAAAGGGUUGCACACUUUAUUGGUUUUAAAUAAACCCAGACGGAGAAAUAUACAAUUUUGACUCAGCAUUUUUUUUUUCCAUUCAAUGCGUUCAGCUUUUGGCGGAAAAGGGUGCGAUUUUAUAACCAGGGGCUUCACUCGCUUUUCACGUGUCAUUGGACACUUUGAAUGCGAAUUAGAGGAGACCAAUUAUUGGAGUUUUGUUUGCGCAGUUUGAUUAAUGGGUCUUUUCGAUUGACAUUUUUAUGUGUAUGCUCUUUAGUUCCUUUUGCUAAUGCCCUCGCUGUUGCGCACUUUUUUACUUUGAAACGUGAAUCGCUUUUUGAACGUUGCAAAUCCGCUAUGGUUUUGACAAUUACAUGGCAGCACGAGUUUCAUUUAAAAAAAGUAUUUAAGUAAGUUUAGAAAUUUGUUUAAAAUUUAUAUAAUUA